RNAcentral lists this ribosomal RNA (497 nucleotides) under uncultured bacterium. RNAcentral describes it as "partial 16S ribosomal RNA". It matches the Rfam family "Bacterial small subunit ribosomal RNA", at positions 35 to 507 of the family's 1533-position model. The record is from RNAcentral.
GGGGGGGGGGGGGGGGGGGCGGGGGGGGGGCGGGGCGGGCGGGGGGAUGGGGAGCUUGCUCCGGGGCCGGUGGGGGCGGGGGGGGGGGUAACGCGUGGAUCCCCUACCUAUCAGCCUGUGCUACCUUCGGGGACCCGGCUCUAAUACCGGUUACCAUAUUGAACCUCAUUGGUCCAUCGUGCAACGCGGUUUUGCGUUCCCUUAUAGCGUGAUCCGCGCCGCAUUAGCUAGUUGGUACGGGAACGGCUUACCAAGGCGACGAUGCGUAGCCGACCUGAGAGGGUGAUCGGCCACACUGGAACGGAGACACGGUCCAGACGCCUACGGGAGGCAGCAGUAGGGAAUCUUCCGCAAUGGGCGAAAGCCUGACGGAGCAACGCCGCGUGAGUAAUGAAGGUCUUCGGAUCGUAAAACUCUGUUAUUAGGGAAGAACAAAUGUGUAAGUAACUAUGCACGUCUUGACGGUACCUAAUCAGAAAGCCACGGCUAACUACGUG